Molecule: ribosomal RNA, 492 nt
Filed under: uncultured bacterium
Lineage: Bacteria
Description: partial 16S ribosomal RNA
Rfam family: Bacterial small subunit ribosomal RNA
Source: RNAcentral
AGUGAAUGCUGGCGGUAGGCCUAACACAUGCAAGUCGGACGGCAGCACAGUAAGAGCUUGCUCUUACGGGUGGCGAGUGGCGGACGGGUGAGGAAUACAUCGGAAUCUACUUUUUCGUGGGGGAUAACGUAGGGAAACUUACGCUAAUACCGCAUACGACCUACGGGUGAAAGCAGGGGAUCUUCGGACCUUGCGCGAUUGAAUGAGCCGAUGUCGGAUUAGCUAGUUGGCGGGGUAAAGGCCCACCAAGGCGACGAUCCGUAGCUGGUCUGAGAGGAUGAUCAGCCACACUGGAACUGAGACACGGUCCAGACUCCUACGGGAGGCAGCAGUGGGGAAUAUUGGACAAUGGGCGCAAGCCUGAUCCAGCCAUACCGCGUGGGUGAAGAAGGCCUUCGGGUUGUAAAGCCCUUUUGUUGGGAAAGAAAAGCAGCAGGUUAAUACCCCGCUGUUCUGACGGUACCCAAAGAAUAAGCACCGGCUAACUUCGUG